RNAcentral lists this ribosomal RNA (460 nucleotides) under uncultured bacterium. RNAcentral's name for it is "partial 16S ribosomal RNA". It matches the Rfam family "Bacterial small subunit ribosomal RNA", at positions 338 to 795 of the family's 1533-position model. The record is from RNAcentral.
CCUACGGGAGGCAGCAGUGAGGAAUAUUGGUCAAUGGGCGUGAGCCUGAACCAGCCAAGUAGCGUGAAGGAUGACUGCCCUACGGGUUGUAAACUUCUUUUAUAAAGGAAUAAAGUGAGGCACGUGUGCCUUUUUGUAUGUACCAUAUGAAUAAGCAUCGGCUAACUCCGUGCCAGCAGGCGCCGUUAUUCGGAGGAGGCGAGCGUUGUCCGGAUUUAUUGGGUUUAAAGGGUGCGUAGGUGGGUAAUUAAGUUCGCGGUGAAAAUUUGUGGCUCAAACAUAAAAUUGCCGUUGAAACUGGUUGACUUGAGUAUAUUUGAGGUAGGCGGAAUGCGUGGUGUAGCGGUGAAAUGCAUAGAUAUCACGCAGAACUCCGAUUGCGAAGGCAGCUUACUAAACUAUAACUGACACUGAAGCACGAAAGCGUGGGGAUCAAACAGGAUUAGAUACCCGAGUAGUC